Molecule: transfer RNA, 77 nt
Filed under: Bacillota bacterium
Lineage: Bacteria; Bacillati; Bacillota
Description: Firmicutes bacterium (gut metagenome) tRNA-Thr
Rfam family: tRNA
About the family: Transfer RNA (tRNA) molecules are approximately 80 nucleotides in length. Their secondary structure includes four short double-helical elements and three loops (D, anti-codon, and T loops). Further hydrogen bonds mediate the characteristic L-shaped molecular structure. tRNAs have two regions of fundamental functional importance: the anti-codon, which is responsible for specific mRNA codon recognition, and the 3' end, to which the tRNAs corresponding amino acid is attached (by aminoacyl-tRNA synthetases). tRNAs cope with the degeneracy of the genetic code in two manners: having more than one tRNA (with a specific anti-codon) for a particular amino acid; and 'wobble' base-pairing, i.e. permitting non-standard base-pairing at the 3rd anti-codon position.
Source: RNAcentral
GCUGGUGUAGCUCAACUAGGCAGAGCAACUGACUUGUAAUCAGUAGGUUGUUGGUUCGAUUCCGAUCACCAGCUCCA